CUGCAGUGCAAUACAUUUUAAAGAUUAAUGUAAAAAUGUCUUAGAGUGUAGUUACUCUUUAAGACGUAUUAAAGUAUCCGCUGGCAUGUGUGAAUUUCAAGUAAAUAAAGGUUCAGCAAACUAUAUAAAAUUGGUAUUGGGUCAUGGAGCACAAUCCAUAAGAUAUUGAUCUAAUAAUGUUCAGUUUGAAGCCUUAAAACACUCUUACACUUUCUUUUUAUUGAAUUUAUCUUGAGAGAUUUAAGCUUAAAUUUAAGAUCAGUAAAGCACUUUAAACACCAACACAUUUUCUGCAUAUUACCUUUCUUCUAGAAUCUUUUUGCUGACCAGAUUGUUAGUUAAUUGUUUACAAGUCAAUAUUGCCUAGAUGAACAGUGCUAAAAAAAAAGGAUGAAAUGCAGUCAAAAAUAUGGGUGCGUCUAAGAAAAAACUGGUACAACCGGUGCAAAAAGUCUUGAGCCUUGAGUACUUUGUACUGUUAGAUCCCACAGAAUCACUGUUGUUUUAUUAUAUAAUCACCAUUGUUUUUUAGUAGUAGAUCAGUAUAGGAUAUAUUCAGUUUUGUUUUGUGUUCUUUUAGAUGGAAAAUGCAUUAACUGCACAGAUGGGAGAUCACGGACUGGAUUGAUCGUUGUUCUGAUCUCAGUGGUUUUGGUGUUCAUCUGUGUUCUGAUCUGUGCAGGAGGUAUAGGACGUUCCUGUAGAUCAUCUCCCACCAGCAAUCAUUCCAUUGCUAACAAUACAGAAAUUCCAAACGGAUCACCAUCGUCCCACAGUGGUCAUCCUCCUGACGGUAAGUGUUACUGUAUUCAUUAUGAACUAUAUAGAAUUAAUGUGAUGCUAGAUACACAACUACAGUCUUAUAUA
This 867-nucleotide long non-coding RNA is filed under the name Astyanax mexicanus (Mexican tetra). Its description in RNAcentral is "lncRNA (ENSAMXG00005009578.1)". The record is from RNAcentral. Lineage: Eukaryota; Metazoa; Chordata; Actinopteri; Characiformes; Acestrorhamphidae.